AAAUUGAAGAGUUUGAUCAUGGCUCAGAUUGAACGCUGGCGGCAGGCCUAACACAUGCAAGUCGAACGGUAACAGGAAACAGCUUGCUGUUUCGCUGACGAGUGGCGGACGGGUGAGUAAUGUCUGGGAAACUGCCUGAUGGAGGGGGAUAACUACUGGAAACGGUAGCUAAUACCGCAUAACGUCGCAAGACCAAAGAGGGGGACCUUAGGGCCUCUUGCCAUCGGAUGUGCCCA
RNAcentral lists this ribosomal RNA (236 nucleotides) under Escherichia coli. RNAcentral describes it as "partial 16S ribosomal RNA". It matches the Rfam family "Bacterial small subunit ribosomal RNA", at positions 1 to 233 of the family's 1533-position model. Lineage: Bacteria; Pseudomonadati; Pseudomonadota; Gammaproteobacteria; Enterobacterales; Enterobacteriaceae. The record is from RNAcentral.